CCCUUAGAUGUUCUGGGCCGCACGCGCGCUACAAUGAUGAAUUCAACGAGUCUAUAACCUUGGUUGAAAAGCCUGGGUAAUCUUUUGAACUUUCGUCGUGAUGGGGCUAGACCCUUGCAAUUAUUGGUCUCCAACGAGGAAUUCCUAGUAAACGCAAGUCAUCAGCUUGCAUUGAUUACGUCCCUGCCCUUUGUACACACCGCCCGUCGCACCUACCGAUUGAAUGGUCCGGUGAAAUCUUCGGAUUGAGACUUUGAUUUCUUCACGGAAAACGCUGUUUUAAGAAGUUGAUUAAACCUUACCAUUUAGAGGAAGGUGAAGUCGUAACA
This 329-nucleotide ribosomal RNA is filed under the name uncultured eukaryote. Its description in RNAcentral is "partial 18S ribosomal RNA". It matches the Rfam family "Eukaryotic small subunit ribosomal RNA", at positions 1470 to 1796 of the family's 1831-position model. The record is from RNAcentral.